UGGGGAAUAUUGGACAAUGGGCGAAAGCCUGAUCCAGCCAUGCCGCGUGAGUGAUGAAGGCCCUAGGGUUGUAAAGCUCUUUUGUGCGGGAAGAUAAUGACGGUACCGCAAGAAUAAGCCCCGGCUAACUUCGUGCCAGCAGCCGCGGUAAUACGAAGGGGGCUAGCGUUGCUCGGAAUCACUGGGCGUAAAGGGUGCGUAGGCGGGUCUUUAAGUCAGGGGUGAAAUCCUGGAGCUCAACUCCAGAACUGCCUUUGAUACUGAAGAUCUUGAGUUCGGGAGAGGUGAGUGGAACUGCGAGUGUAGAGGUGAAAUUCGUAGAUAUUCGCAAGAACACCAGUGGCGAAGGCGGCUCACUGGCCCGAUACUGACGCUGAGGCACGAAAGCGGGGGGAGCAAACAGG
RNAcentral lists this ribosomal RNA (404 nucleotides) under Actinomycetes bacterium. RNAcentral describes it as "Actinobacteria bacterium partial 16S ribosomal RNA". It matches the Rfam family "Bacterial small subunit ribosomal RNA", at positions 355 to 776 of the family's 1533-position model. The record is from RNAcentral. Lineage: Bacteria; Bacillati; Actinomycetota; Actinomycetes.